UACUCGAGUGGCGAACGGGUGAGUAACACGUGGGCGAUCUGCCCUGCACUCCGGGAUAAGCUUGGGAAACUGGGUCUAAUACCGGAUAGGAGCCAUCUUUAGUGUGGUGGUUGGAAAGUUUUUUCGGUGUAGGAUGAGCUCGCGGCCUAUCAGCUUGUUGGUGGGGUAAUGGCCUACCAAGGCGGCGACGGGUAGCCGGCCUGAGAGGGUGUACGGCCACAUUGGGACUGAGAUACGGCCCAG
RNAcentral lists this ribosomal RNA (243 nucleotides) under uncultured Actinomycetales bacterium. RNAcentral describes it as "partial 16S ribosomal RNA". It matches the Rfam family "Bacterial small subunit ribosomal RNA", at positions 88 to 334 of the family's 1533-position model. Lineage: Bacteria; Bacillati; Actinomycetota; Actinomycetes; Actinomycetales. The record is from RNAcentral.